AGUUCACAGGGUAUUCCGGCGUUCUCUUUGCCAUUGAGAACUGCGCGUAGACUACGAAUUUCAAAGAUCUAUCCAUGCAAGCAUUUAACCGUCAGGGCUCUGGCGGUUUUUUUUUUGCCUGCCGAAAACCGUCAAAAGCAAAAGGCCCCCCGAUGUGCGUAUCAACGAGGGGCCUUUCUCUGGAAGGGACAGUCUCCGUUCAUUAGUCA
Molecule: small RNA, 209 nt
Filed under: Atlantibacter sp. RC6
Lineage: Bacteria; Pseudomonadati; Pseudomonadota; Gammaproteobacteria; Enterobacterales; Enterobacteriaceae
Description: STnc560 Hfq binding RNA
Rfam family: STnc560 Hfq binding RNA
Source: RNAcentral